This 246-nucleotide unclassified non-coding RNA is filed under the name uncultured fungus. Its description in RNAcentral is "sequence contains ITS1, 5.8S rRNA gene". The stretch from base 198 to 246 matches the Rfam family "5.8S ribosomal RNA", at positions 1 to 49 of the family's 154-position model. The record is from RNAcentral. Lineage: Eukaryota; Fungi.
UCUCCGUAGGUGAACCUGCGGAGGGAUCAUUACACAAAUAUGAAGGCGGGCUGGAACCUCUCGGGGUUACAGCCUUGCUGAAUUAUUCACCCUUGUCUUUUGCGUACUUCUUGUUUCCUUGGUGGGUUCGCCCACCACUAGGACAAACAUAAACCUUUUGUAAUUGCAAUCAGCGUCAGUAACAAAUUAAUAAUUACAACUUUCAACAACGGAUCUCUUGGUUCUGGCAUCGAUGAAGAACGCAGC